UACGGAGGGUGCAAGCGUUAAUCGGAAUUACUGGGCGUAAAGGGUGCGUAGGCGGUUGUUUAAGUCUGUUGUGAAAUCCCCGGGCUCAACCUGGGAAUGGCAAUGGAUACUGGGCAGCUAGAGUGUGUCAGAGGAUGGUGGAAUUCCCGGUGUAGCGGUGAAAUGCGUGGAGAUCGGGAGGAACAUCAGUGGCGAAGGCGGCCAUCUGGGACAACACUGACGCUGAAGCACGAAAGCGUGGGGAGCAAACAGG
Molecule: ribosomal RNA, 253 nt
Filed under: uncultured bacterium
Lineage: Bacteria
Description: partial 16S ribosomal RNA
Rfam family: Bacterial small subunit ribosomal RNA
Source: RNAcentral